AUGGAUCCACCUGGGGUCGCCCUCUCUGGAACCAGUGUUGCCGACGGCUCAUCCGGGGUGCUGGAUCUUGGUGAUGUGCUGGAACAACUCAACUUGGAAGACGAAGAAUUUGAUGAUCUGGUAAUAGAUGAACCCGAUCCAAAGAUCACUGAAAGUGUGAGGUGGCUUGCGCUGGCUAGGGCUUGCACGGGCAAGAACUUCAGCCAGCCGGCCUUCUACAAGGAUAUGCGUGCAGCAUGGAAUCCGGCGCAGCCGGUGAGGUUUCGCCCGGUAGGUCCGAAGCUCUUUGUCGUGCAGGUGUCAUGUUUGGGAGACUGGGAA
This 321-nucleotide ribosomal RNA is filed under the name Triticum aestivum (bread wheat). RNAcentral's name for it is "partial small subunit ribosomal RNA". The record is from RNAcentral. Lineage: Eukaryota; Viridiplantae; Streptophyta; Magnoliopsida; Poales; Poaceae.